This is a long non-coding RNA of Helianthus annuus (common sunflower), 941 nucleotides long. RefSeq lists it as uncharacterized. The transcript has 3 exons. The record is from RefSeq and is a predicted model, not a curated record. Lineage: Eukaryota; Viridiplantae; Streptophyta; Magnoliopsida; Asterales; Asteraceae.
GUUAAAUUUAUUUGUUAGUUCAUACUUACAUAAUUGUAAAACAUAACCCAUGUGGUAAGGACACUGAUUAACUUAUUUUGCCAUUAAAAAAGCAACUAAUGCAAUCGUCAAAUUUUGAGCUUUAUGUUAUUUCAUUCUAGGUGCCAAGCUUUAUGGUAGGUUAGAGACGCAACGGUUGCUGAUGUAAGUGUCGUCCUCUCUCUCAGUGGUGAAGGUUGGCUUGUGAAAACACCAUCUCCCAUUUGCACCCAUCAGGUUGGCUUAUGAUUGGUGGCCCACAUGGUGAUGCAAGUCUAACCACUUUAUUCAUUGCGAUUUGGGAGGAAGGCUUCAAAUUCCUACACACGAAUUACAAUCUUUCACCUCUUGAUUCUUUUCAAGAUUUGACUACUGUUGACUUCAAUUUGUGAUUAGUUGUUGCGAAGUUUAUGAUGAUUAGUGAAGUUCUAUGGAUAUUGAGUGAGAUUUGUGUUCAUUUGAUGAAUUUGAUGAUUAUUUACUUCAGUUCUACAUCUAGAGAUUGAGUGCACGAAAAACCCGAAAUUCCAUUCGGUUUCUGUGGUGGCAAUCUGAAGAUUUCAAAUCCGUUUCUCAAUUGCCAUUUCUUUCAUUCAACAUUUUGAACAAUUUUGAUGGAUUCUUUUAUAUGGUUCAGGUAUAAUUCGAAUCACCCCUGAUGUUAUAUGAUUAUGUUUGCUUUUUUCUCUUCAUGUAAUGUUAUGAUUUCAAUUAAUAUUUAAGUAAAAUAAAGUGACCUAUUGAGUUCUUUUGCUAGAUUUGAUUUCCCUUUUCACGGCUAAGGAAAGAAUAUUGUUAACCAAAUGUGAGACAGGAUAAAUAAUUUGAAGUUUAAAACUAAACAAGUGUUCCAACUUUACUUUUCUACUGGAAGUAGGUUUUUUUGUGUUAUAUCUCUGCAUUUGUAAACUAGAUUUUACAGC